This 263-nucleotide ribosomal RNA is filed under the name uncultured bacterium. Its description in RNAcentral is "partial 16S ribosomal RNA". It matches the Rfam family "Bacterial small subunit ribosomal RNA", at positions 524 to 786 of the family's 1533-position model. The record is from RNAcentral.
CACGUAGGAGGCAAACGUUAUCCGGAUUUACUGGGCGUAAAGCGCGUGUAGGUGGUUCUGUAAGUAGGGCGUGAAAGCUCCCGGCUCAACUGGGAGAUGCCGUUCUAAACUGCAGAGCUUGAGGAUGGUAGAGGGAGGUGGAAUUCCAGGUGUAGCGGUGGAAUGCGCAGAUAUCUGGAGGAACACCAGUGGCGAAGGCGGCCUCCUGGACCAUUCCUGACACUCAGACGCGAAAGCUAGGGUAGCAAACGGGAUUAGAGACC